This 495-nucleotide ribosomal RNA is filed under the name uncultured bacterium. Its description in RNAcentral is "partial 16S ribosomal RNA". It matches the Rfam family "Bacterial small subunit ribosomal RNA", at positions 28 to 507 of the family's 1533-position model. The record is from RNAcentral.
GACGAACGCUGGCGGCGUGCCUAAUACAUGCAAGUAGAACGCUGAAGGAGGAGCUUGCUUCUCUGGAUGAGUUGCGAACGGGUGAGUAACGCGUAGGUAACCUGCCUGGUAGCGGGGGAUAACUAUUGGAAACGAUAGCUAAUACCGCAUAAUAGCAGUUGUUGCGUGACAACUGUUUGAAAGGUGCAAUUGCACCACUACCAGAUGGACCUGCGUUGUAUUAGCUAGUUGGUGGGGUAACGGCUCACCAAGGCGACGAUACAUAGCCGACCUGAGAGGGUGAUCGGCCACACUGGGACUGAGACACGGCCCAGACUCCUACGGGAGGCAGCAGUAGGGAAUCUUCGGCAAUGGACGGAAGUCUGACCGAGCAACGCCGCGUGAGUGAAGAAGGUUUUCGGAUCGUAAAGCUCUGUUGUAAGAGAAGAACGAGUGUGAGAGUGGAAAGUUCACACUGUGACGGUAUCUUACCAGAAAGGGACGGCUAACUACGUG